GUCAGUGUGGUAUAGUGGCUUGAGUGAUAGACUAUGAUUCUAGAGACCAGGUUUCAAAUCCCUGCUUGGCCA
Non-coding RNA from Phrynosoma platyrhinos (Desert horned lizard), 72 nucleotides. NCBI's taxonomy places the organism in Eukaryota, Metazoa, Chordata, Lepidosauria, Squamata, Phrynosomatidae. The record is from the annotation of a GenBank genome assembly.